Molecule: long non-coding RNA, 2806 nt
Organism: Rhopalosiphum padi (bird cherry-oat aphid)
Lineage: Eukaryota; Metazoa; Arthropoda; Insecta; Hemiptera; Aphididae
Exons: 14
Source: RefSeq, a predicted model, not a curated record
AAUAUUAUGAAUACCUAUUUUAAUCUGCUUAUAAAACAGUCAAAAAUUAAAUGUAUACACCAACAGAGGGCGUGAGCGUCGCCGUAGUAGGGACGACAUCCGUCGGCCGAAUCGCCUCAGAAAGAAACUAGAUAGUUGUGUGGCGUUCACCGUACUGCUGUGUAUCGUAACGGGUCGUUGUAUUUACUUAGAUUUUGAGUCUACUCGUUAUUUAUUAAUUAAGAUUUUUGAUAUUAUAAACGAAUUGCUCAUAUUUUAUGCCCGAAGUUAACACAAGUAACUGUCUUGAUCCUUGACUACUAGAUCAAGAAAAUGAUUCUAAUUUAUAAUUUUUAACUUUCAUUUUUUUCAUUUUACCUGAUAUUUUUACUUCAUAAAAACUAUAAAAUAUGAUUUUAUAAGUUAAUUUUGACGAAUAAUACAACUUAACAUUUUUUCGUAUUGAAAAGGAGCGAUUUUCAGUUGUACAAAUGUAUUCUUUAGUUACACUCAUAAUACAUUUGAAUUCCUUCUACAAACCAUUCUGGUACAUUUGUACUAUCUUUUAUGGCUUAUCAUAAUUAUUAUUUAUUAUCAUCUGUUAUCUAUGUUUUGCAGUUCUACAUUCGUUUUUGUAUUUAAGUUUCAAUUGUAAAUUCCUUUCAUGUAUUUUGUAUAAAAAUGAAGUUUGUCUGUUAGUUUAUGUUUUGAUAGUUUCCUUUUCUGAAUUAAUCAGUGUUGUCCACGUACUAGUUGUUAUAUAAAAAUUGUCGUUCUCCUUAUGGUAUCUAGUAGUGACAUUUUGUCCUCCAACCAUUAUACAUAUUUAACUUACUAUUUUUUUUUAGAUGGCUGUACACCAGAUAUACUCAGGACAUAUUGAAACAUGAAUUACCAUUUCUACCACAUGGGAAAGUUUCAACAUCCUACGUUGAAAAUGGACUGGACGAUCCUGAUAAUAAUAAUAGUUUUAUGCAUAAUGGCAGUACAGCAGAUCAUUCAAUACAUGCCGAGACAUGAAUUCACAUUUCUACCACUAUGCUAAAUAUCAAUAUCCUACGUUGAAAAUGUACUAGACGAUACUGCUAAUAACAAGGGUUUUGUGCAACGUGCGUGUAAUGGAUGGCAGUACAGCAGAUCACUCAAUACAUGCUGAGACAUGAAUUCACAUUUCUACCACUAUGCAAAACAUCAACAUCCUACGUUGGAAAUGGACUAGACAGUACUGCUAAUAAUAAUGGUUUUGUGCAACGUGCGCGUAAUGGAUGGCAGUACUGCAGAUCACUGGAGGCAUGCUGAGACAUGAAUUAACAUUUCUAUCACUUGGGAAAGUUACAACAUUUUCCGUUGAAAAUGGAAUAGAAGAUGGCAGUAUAUCAGAUCAAUCAAGGCAUGCUGAGACACGAAUUCACAUUUCUACCACUAAGGAGAGUAUCAACAUCCUAGGUUGAAAAUGGACUAGAAGAUACUGAUAAUAAUAUUGGAUUUAUGCAAUGAUGGCAGUACAGCAGAUCAUUCAAUACAUGCCGAGACAUGAAUUCACAUUUCUACCACUAUGCUAAAUAUCAAUAUCCUACGUUGAAAAUGUACUAGACGAUACUGCUAAUAACAAGGGUUUUGUGCAACGUGCGUGUAAUGGAUGGCAGUACAGCAGAUCACUCAAUACAUGCUGAGACAUGAAUUCACAUUUCUACCACUAUGCAAAACAUCAACAUCCUACGUUGGAAAUGGACUAGACAGUACUGCUAAUAAUAAUGGUUUUGUGCAACGUGCGCGUAAUGGAUGGCAGUACUGCAGAUCACUGGAGGCAUGCUGAGACAUGAAUUAACAUUUCUAUCACUUGGGAAAGUUACAACAUUUUCCGUUGAAAAUGGAAUAGAAGAUGGCAGUAUAUCAGAUCAAUCAAGGCAUGCUGAGACACGAAUUCACAUUUCUACCACUAAGGAGAGUAUCAACAUCCUAGGUUGAAAAUGGACUAGAAGAUACUGAUAAUAAUAUUGGAUUUAUGCAAUGAUGGCAGUACAGCAGAUCAUUCAAUACAUGCCGAGACAUGAAUUCACAUUUCUACCACUAUGCUAAAUAUCAAUAUCCUACGUUGAAAAUGUACUAGACGAUACUGCUAAUAACAAGGGUUUUGUGCAACGUGCGUGUAAUGGAUGGCAGUACAGCAGAUCACUCAAUACAUGCUGAGACAUGAAUUCACAUUUCUACCACUAUGCAAAACAUCAACAUCCUACGUUGGAAAUGGACUAGACAGUACUGCUAAUAAUAAUGGUUUUGUGCAACAUGGCAGUACAGCAGAUCAUUCAAUACAUGCUGAGACAUGAAUUCACAUUUCUACCACUAUGCAAAAUAUCAACAUCCUACGUUGAAAAUGUACUAGACGAUACUGCUAAUAAUAAUGGUUUUGUGCAACAUGCGUGUGAUGGAUUGCGGUACAGCAGAUCAUUCAAGACAUGCUGAGACAUGAAUUAACAUUUCUACCACAUGGGAAAGUUACAACAUCCUAUGUUGAAAAUGGAAUAGAAGAUACUGAUAAUAAUAUUGGAUUUAUGCGUUAUGGUUGUGCAACAGAUCACUGAAUUAACAUUUUUACCACUUAGGAUAGUUUCAACAUCUUACAUUUAUAAUGGACUUGAAGAUUUUGAUAAUAAUAAUAAUUUUAUAGAAUGUACGUGUCAUGGGUAUUGAAUGUAAUUGUAACAUUUAAAUACAAUAAAAUCUGAUCAUUAUAUAUGAAAAACAAUUUUGAACGAUGACGUUUUAUCAUCCUAUUAUAUAUCUAAGUAGUUUGAUGGAAUUAUUGUGAAUAAAGUUAUUUAUUUUA